RNAcentral lists this ribosomal RNA (681 nucleotides) under Hyalorbilia fusarioides. Its description in RNAcentral is "eukaryotic LSU rRNA". The stretch from base 272 to 425 matches the Rfam family "5.8S ribosomal RNA". The record is from RNAcentral. Lineage: Eukaryota; Fungi; Ascomycota; Orbiliomycetes; Orbiliales; Orbiliaceae.
GUUUCCGUAGGUGAACCUGCGGAAGGAUCAUUACUAUUCAGCCGUCUGCUGCCCGUGUGGCGUAGGCUGGCAGAAACCGACACCUCUCCGCCCCGCCCCCCUCCCAGGGGAAAGGGUGUGACUGUGUUAAACCCUUUGUGAACCUUCUCUUUUGCUUCGGCAGCACGUACUGCGGGUAACCGCAGGACGGUAAGGCUGUCAGAAGCCUCUUAUUAAACCAGUUGAUUGAAGUCAUGCUGUCUGAGAACUUAUGAAUUUUAAAUCAUAUUAAAACUUUCAGCAACGGAUCUCUUGGUUCUCGCAUCGAUGAAGAACGCAGCGAAACGCGAUAGGUAAUGUGAAUUGCAGAAUUCCGUGAAUCAUCGAAUCUUUGAACGCACAUUGCGCCUUCUGGUAUUCCGGGAGGCAUGUCUGUUUGAGCGUCAGCAAAACCCUCGGUCUAACGGUUUGUUAACAAGCCGACUGACCGGUAAUGGGCUUUGGGAGCGGGCCUUCCGGUCUCUCCCUGCCUUAAACCUGCUGCACGACCGCAAGCAAUUGCAACGGUUAAUGGAGUGGUGUUACAUAUCUUCCAUACAAGCCUUAGCUACCGCUUCAGCGGCGUUAAACCUAUGUUGCUUAACCGCGACCGAACGUUUGACCUCAGAUCAGAUAAGGAUACCCGCUGAACUUAAGCAUAUC